GGCCCUAUCGUCUAGCGGUUAGGACGGAGCCCUCUCAAGGCUCAGACCGGGGCUCGAGUCCCCGUAGGGUCA
RNAcentral lists this transfer RNA (72 nucleotides) under Myxococcota bacterium. RNAcentral describes it as "tRNA-Glu". It matches the Rfam family "tRNA". Rfam says of the family: Transfer RNA (tRNA) molecules are approximately 80 nucleotides in length. Their secondary structure includes four short double-helical elements and three loops (D, anti-codon, and T loops). The record is from RNAcentral. Lineage: Bacteria; Pseudomonadati; Myxococcota.